UCCUAUCUGGUUGAUCCUGCCAGUAGUCAUAUGCUUGUCUCAAAGAUUAAGCCAUGCAUGUCUGAGUACAGACCGAUCUAAGGUGAAACCGCGAAUGGCUCAUUAAAUCAGUCAUAAUUCCUUGGAUAGUGAAAAACUUCCUCGGAUAACUGUGGAAAAUCCAGAGCUAAUACGUGCAAAAGAGCUCCGACCUCGGCGAGAGCCUUGGGAAGAGCGCAUUUAUUAGAUUCAAAACUGACCGGCGUACUCUUUCGGGAUACGCAGUUUGUCAAAAGCUUGAUGACUCCGGAUAACUUAGCCGAGCGCUACGGUCUUAGUACCGGCGCCGUAUCUUUCAAGUGUCUGCCUUAUCAGCUUUCGAUUGUAGGUUAAAUGCCUACAAUGGCUGUAACGGGUAACGGGGAAUCAGGGUUCGAUUCCGGAGAGGGAGCCUGAGAAACGGCUACCACAUCUAAGGAAGGCAGCAGGCACGUAAAUUACCCACUCCCAGCACGGGGAGGUAGUGACGAAAAAUAACGAUGGGAGUCUCUUUUGAGGCCUCUCAAUCGGAAUGAGUCCGUUUUAAAUCGUUGGACGAGGAUCAAUUGGAGGGCAAGUCUGGUGCCAGCAGCCGCGGUAAUUCCAGCUCCAAUAGCGUAUAUUAAAGUUGCUGCGGUUAAAAACUCGUAGUUGGAUCUCCUAGAUCCAAUUCGUGGGCGAGUGGCUCUUUGUGCUAACGUCUCGCGCAGUUAACUAGACUAGGUUACGGUUCUUGUCUCUCUCGGUUUCGAUCGUGAGCUGAUUGAGUUCCGCUUUCCGAAUCUUGUUGACGGCGAUUCGUGGUCUUAGGGUAUAGCUCGUCCGCGUUUGGUACAAUACCAAUUUUGUCGGCCCGCUCAAGAGUGCUCUUUACCGAGUGUUCCAGGGUGGCCGACACGUUCACUUUGAAAAAAUUAGAGUGCUUAAAGCAGGCUUAUAUACAGCAUGAAUGUCUGUGCAUGGAAUGAAGUAACAGGACCUCGAUUCUGUUCUUUUUGUCGGUUUUAAUGAACCGAGGUAAUGAUUAAAAGGGACAGACGGUGGCAUUAGUAUUGCGACGCUAGAGGUGAAAUUCUUGGACCGUCGCAAGACUAACGACUGCGAAAGCAUUUGCCAAGAAUGUUUUCAUUAAUCAAGAACGAAAGUUAGAGGAUCGAAGGCGAUCAGAUACCGCCCUAGUUCUAACCCUAAACUAUGCUAACUAGCGAUCCGCCGGAGUCAUUCCCACGACCCGGCGGGAAGCCCCAGGGAAACCAAAGUCUUUGAGUUCCGGGGGAAGUAUGGUUGCAAAUCUGAAACUUAAAGGAAUUGACGGAAGGGCACCACCAGGAGUGGAGCCUGCGGCUUAAUUUGACUCAACACGGGAAACCUCACCAGGCCCGGACAUUAUAAGGAUUGACAGAUUGAGAGCUCUUUCUCGAAUUAAUGGGUGGUGGUGCAUGGCCGUUCUUAGUUGGUGGAGUGAUCUGUCUGGUUGAUUCCGAUAACGAACGAGACUCUACCCUACUAACUAGUCGACGGAUCGUAACCCCGAGACGGUUUGGUUUGUAUAGGGGAGUUUAGCCGAUGCGUUGUUUCGAUCUAAAUUGGUCGGUGUUCGAUCAACUAUUGACGUUCGCCAAGGCCCUUUUUCAAUUGAGCAUCGUUGAGGCGGCUUUCCGAUUACUACCUCCGCCGUUGGGGGCGUCCGUCGAAAUGUAUCUUCUUAGAGGGAUCAGCGACGUCUAGUCGCACGAGAAAGAGCAAUAACAGGUCUGUGAUGCCCUUAGAUGUUCUGGGCCGCACGCGCGCUACAAUGGAGGGAUCAGCGUGCUUUUUCCUCUCCGAAAGGAGCGGGUAACCCCAUGAAAACCCUCCACGAUAGGAAUUGGGGAUUGAAAAUAUUUCCCAUGAACGAGGAAUUCCAAGUAAGCGCGAGUCAUUAACUCGCGUUGAUUACGUCCCUGCCCUUUGUACACACCGCCCGUCGCUACUACCGAUUGAAUGAUUCAGUGAGGACAUCGGACUGGCCCUUCGGUUUAGUAAAAUAGACCUUAGGCUGACGGAAAGAUGUCCGAACUUGAUCAUUUAGAGGAAGUAAAAGUCGUAACAAGGUUUCCGUAGGUGAACCUGCGG
Molecule: ribosomal RNA, 2133 nt
Filed under: Stylomesus sp. 2 MR-2008
Lineage: Eukaryota; Metazoa; Arthropoda; Malacostraca; Isopoda; Ischnomesidae
Description: SSU rRNA
Rfam family: Eukaryotic small subunit ribosomal RNA
Source: RNAcentral